This 253-nucleotide ribosomal RNA is filed under the name uncultured bacterium. Its description in RNAcentral is "partial 16S ribosomal RNA". It matches the Rfam family "Bacterial small subunit ribosomal RNA", at positions 524 to 776 of the family's 1533-position model. The record is from RNAcentral.
UACAGCGGUCGCGAGCGUUAAUCGGAGUAACUGGGCGUAAAGGGCACGUAGGCGGUUAUAUUAAUUUGAUGGGAAAGACCUGGGCUUAACCUGGGAUGUUCAUUUGGAAAGGUAUAGCUAGAGUUUGGGAGAGGGAAGUGGAAUUUCCGGUGUAGCGGUGAAAUGCGUAGAGAUCGGAAAGAACACUCGUGGCGAAGGCGGCUUUCUGGCCCAAAACUGACGCUGAGGUGCGAAAGCGUGGGGAGCACACAGG